Molecule: ribosomal RNA, 494 nt
Filed under: uncultured soil bacterium
Lineage: Bacteria
Description: bacterial SSU rRNA
Rfam family: Bacterial small subunit ribosomal RNA
Source: RNAcentral
ACAACAUGCAAGUCGAACGGAAUUAAGGGGCUUGCUCCUUAAUUUAGUGGCGCACGGGUGAGUAACGCGUAGAUAAUCUGCCUGAUGAUCUGGGAUAACACUUCGAAAGAGGUGCUAAUACCGAAUAAGCCCACGGAGUCUUUGGAUUCUGCGGGAAAAUGGGGGGACCUUCGGGCCUUCUGUCAUCAGAUGAGUCUGCGUACCAUUAGCUAGUUGGUAGGGUAAUGGCCUACCAAUGCUACUAUGGUUAGCUGGUCUGAGAGGAUGAUCAGUCACACUGGAACUGAGACACGGUCCAGACUCCUACGGGAGGCCGCAGUGGGGAAUUUUGCGCAAUGGGCGAAAGCCUGACGCACCAACGCCGCGUGAGUGAUGAAGGCUUUCGGGUCGUAAAGCUCUGUCGAGGGGAAAGAAGUGUAUUCUGGUUAAUACCCAUGAUACUUGACGGUACCUCUUAAGGAAGCACCGGCUAACUCCGUGCCAGCAGCCGCGGU